RNAcentral lists this ribosomal RNA (440 nucleotides) under uncultured bacterium. RNAcentral's name for it is "partial 16S ribosomal RNA". It matches the Rfam family "Bacterial small subunit ribosomal RNA", at positions 338 to 795 of the family's 1533-position model. The record is from RNAcentral.
CCUACGGGAGGCAGCAGUGGGGAAUAUUGCACAAUGGGGGAAACCCUGAUGCAGCGACGCCGCGUGAGUGAGGAAGUAUUUCGGUAUGUAAAGCUCUAUCAGCAGGGAAGAAAAUGACGGUACCUGACCAAGAAGCCCCGGCUAACUACGUGCCAGCAGCCGCGGUAAUACGUAGGGGGCAAGCGUUAUCCGGAUUUACUGGGUGUAAAGGGAGCGUAGACGGCGAUGCAAGUCUGAAGUGAAAGGCGGGGGCCCAACCCCCGGACUGCUUUGGAAACUGUAUGGCUGGAGUGCAGGAGAGGUAAGUGGAAUUCCUAGUGUAGCGGUGAAAUGCGUAGAUAUUAGGAGGAACACCAGUGGCGAAGGCGGCUUACUGGACUGUAACUGACGUUGAGGCUCGAAAGCGUGGGGAGCAAACAGGAUUAGAUACCCCUGUAGUC